RNAcentral lists this long non-coding RNA (593 nucleotides) under Oncorhynchus kisutch (coho salmon). RNAcentral describes it as "lncRNA (ENSOKIG00005027630.1)". The record is from RNAcentral. Lineage: Eukaryota; Metazoa; Chordata; Actinopteri; Salmoniformes; Salmonidae.
UGCCACAGCAGACACACAGGUAAAUCAGUUACACCAGGACCCCCACCCACAACUCAUCAGGCUUUGAUUCAGCUGUGUAGUGCUAGGGCAAAUAACAAAACGUGCACCCAGGGGGGUCCAGCUCUGAGUUUAGGAAACCCUGAGUUACAACCAAUUCACUGUGUCACUACAGUCUCUUUCAUACUAUUUUCAUUGUUCUCUCCCUCCCUCUAUCUCCCCCCCCCCCCCUCUCUCUCUCUCUCCCCCCCCCUCUCUCUCUCUCUACAGAGUGUCCGUCCUGACUGUAACAGUGACACGUACACAGCUCUGAACAUGAGGACCAUGUCCUCUGACUAUGACACUUUGGCAAGUGUCCAUGCUGACCCUACCAGGGACCCCAACAGUGACACAUACACAGCUCUGAACAUGAAGACCAGGUCACCAGAGUAUGACACCCUGGCAGUGAGUUUGCGUGUGUGUGUGUGUGGCUGGUAUGUGUGUGGCUGGGUGUCCAUAAAAAUGAUGUAAAGUGCUCAAUCAGUGUGUCUUCUUUCAGAAUGUGAGACUCUCCCAGUGACACAUCCCCUCAGAUAGAUGCUGAGCCCUCCGAUUAU